GACGAACGCUGGCGGCGUGCUUAACACAUGCAAGUCGAACGGAAAGGCCAUGCUUUUGUGGGGUGCUCGAGUGGCGAACGGGUGAGUAACACGUGAGUAACAUGCCCUUGACUUUGGGAUAACUUCAGGAAACUGGGGCUAAUACCGGAUAGGAGCUCCUGCUGCAUGGUGGGGGUUGGAAAGUUUCGGCGGUUGGGGAUGGACUCGCGGCUUAUCAGCUUGUUGGUGGGGUAGUGGUUUACCAAGGCUGUGACGGGUAGCCGGCCUGAGAGGGUGACCGGCGACAUUGGGACUGAGAUACGGCCCAGACGGCUACGGUAGGCAGCAGUGGAGAACAUUGCACAAUAGGGGGAAGCGUGAGGCAGCAGCGCCGCGUGCGGGAUGAUGUCCUUCGGGUUGUAAACCGCUUUCGCCUGUGACGAACCGUGAGUGACGGUAAUGGGUAAAGAAGCACCGGCUAACUACGUG
This 468-nucleotide ribosomal RNA is filed under the name uncultured bacterium. RNAcentral's name for it is "partial 16S ribosomal RNA". It matches the Rfam family "Bacterial small subunit ribosomal RNA", at positions 28 to 507 of the family's 1533-position model. The record is from RNAcentral.